ACGGGAGGCAGCAGUGGGGAAUAUUGCACAAUGGGCGCAAGCCUGAUGCAGCGAUGCCGCGUGAGGGAAGAAGGUUUUCGGAUUGUAAACCUCUGUCAACAGGGACGAAAAUGACGGUACCUGAGAAGGAAGCUCCGGCUAACUACGUGCCAGCAGCCGCGGCAAUACGUAGGGAGCAAGCGUAAUCCGGAAUUACUGGGUGUAAAGGGAGUGUGGGCGGGACUGUAAGUCAGAUGUGAAAUAUGCCGACUCAACUGGCAGACUGCAUUUGAAACUGCGGUUCUUGAGUGAAGUAGAGGUAAGCGGAAUUCCUAGUGUAGCGGUGAAAUGCGUAGAUAUUAGGAGGAACAUCAGUGGCGAAGGCGGCUUACUGGGCUUUAACUGACGCUGAGGCUCGAAAGCGUGGGGAGCAAACAGGAUUAGAUACCCUGGUA
This 434-nucleotide ribosomal RNA is filed under the name uncultured Ruminococcus sp. RNAcentral describes it as "partial 16S ribosomal RNA". It matches the Rfam family "Bacterial small subunit ribosomal RNA", at positions 341 to 792 of the family's 1533-position model. Lineage: Bacteria; Bacillati; Bacillota; Clostridia; Eubacteriales; Oscillospiraceae. The record is from RNAcentral.